UACGGAGGGGACUAGCGUUGUUCGGAAUUACUGGGCGUAAAGCGCACGUAGGCGGAUUUGUAAGUCAGGGGUGAAAUCCCGGGGCUCAACCCCGGAACUGCCUCCAAAACUGCUGGUCUGGAGGUCGAGAGAGGCGAGUGGAAUUCCGAGUGUAGAGGUGAAAUUCGUAGAUAUUCGGAGGAACACCAGUGGCGAAGGCGGCUCGCUGGCUCGAUACUGACGCUGAGGUGCGAAAGCGUGGGGAGCAAACAGG
Molecule: ribosomal RNA, 253 nt
Filed under: uncultured bacterium
Lineage: Bacteria
Description: partial 16S ribosomal RNA
Rfam family: Bacterial small subunit ribosomal RNA
Source: RNAcentral